CAGUCGCCACGGUAAUACGAAGGGUGCAAGCGUUACUCGGAAUUACUGGGCGUAAAGCGUGCGUAGGUGGUGGUUUAAGUCCGUUGUGAAAGCCCUGGGCUCAACCUGGGAAUUGCAGUGGAUACUGGGUCACUAGAGUGUGGUAGAGGAUAGUGGAAUUUCCGGUGUAGCAGUGAAAUGCGUAGAGAUCGGAAGGAACAUCUGUGGCGAAGGCGACUAUCUGGGCCGACACUGACACUGAGGCACGAAAGCGUGGGGAGCAAACAGGAUUAGAUACCCCUGUAGUCCCUGUCUCUUAUAA
Molecule: ribosomal RNA, 301 nt
Filed under: uncultured bacterium
Lineage: Bacteria
Description: partial 16S ribosomal RNA
Rfam family: Bacterial small subunit ribosomal RNA
Source: RNAcentral